GGCCAUGUCUGGGCAGAAUCCACCAGUCACGCAAAGAGGACGAUACACUGUAGCACUCAGCAGAAGAGGAAAGAUGGGAACAGAAAGCAAAUGGAAGAUUUUACACCUCCGCCACUGGAAAUGGUGCCGGUAAAGGAAAUGGAGGUAUGAGCCUGUUCCUGGGUUUUCACCUGAGGUGUCAUAGCUUGUCUUUGAUCUACUGUAUAUCAAUCUCCUAUAUCAAGAAGGAGUCAAAAGGGGGCACUUUGCGCAUUUUAACCUUUCCAUGUGGCAAAAUGAGAAACCUACUGGUCUAUUUAAAUGUGAGAAAGAUGUUCCGAGUGCUAGAUGUGAUAGUCCUCUCCUGCUUGGCUGGCUAACCUCCAUGUACUUCCUUGUACUUGUCUAUGGACGCUUGUCAACACAAAAAUUAUGAUUGAAAGGAGCAGAUAACUACAUGCAGGUAAGCAGCGAGAAUGAUUUGCUGAGCAUUGUCAGCAUAAGCUGCGUUAGUCUUCCUUCCUCUGCCUGCCGUUCUCUCUUUCUGAAGCAGCACGCCUUGCUGUGGCUGGUCAAAUGGAACCAAGUCAGGUGUUUCUGCGAGGUUUGGUCCCCUUCAACCAGCUACUGCGUCGUGAAUACAGCCAACUAUUAGAUAUUAGAGGAGAGUCAUUCA
Long non-coding RNA from Labeo rohita (rohu), 655 nucleotides. RefSeq lists it as uncharacterized. The record is from RefSeq and is a predicted model, not a curated record. The transcript is spliced from 3 exons. NCBI's taxonomy places the organism in Eukaryota, Metazoa, Chordata, Actinopteri, Cypriniformes, Cyprinidae.